This 497-nucleotide ribosomal RNA is filed under the name uncultured bacterium. RNAcentral describes it as "partial 16S ribosomal RNA". It matches the Rfam family "Bacterial small subunit ribosomal RNA", at positions 28 to 507 of the family's 1533-position model. The record is from RNAcentral.
GACGAACGCUGGCGGCGUGCCUAAUACAUGCAAGUUGAGCGCUGAAGGUUGGUACUUGUACCGACUGGAUGAGCAGCGAACGGGUGAGUAACGCGUGGGGAAUCUGCCUUUGAGCGGGGGACAACAUUUGGAAACGAAUGCUAAUACCGCAUAAAAACUUUAAACACAAGUUUUAAGUUUGAAAGAUGCAAUUGCAUCACUCAAAGAUGAUCCCGCGUUGUAUUAGCUAGUUGGUGAGGUAAAGGCUCACCAAGGCGAUGAUACAUAGCCGACCUGAGAGGGUGGUCGGCCACAUUGGGACUGAGACACGGCCCAAACUCCUACGGGAGGCAGCAGUAGGGAAUCUUCGGCAAUGGACGAAAGUCUGACCGAGCAACGCCGCGGGAGUGAAGAAGGUUUUCGGAUCGUAAAACUCUGUUGGUAGAGAAGAACGUUGGUGAGAGUGGAAAGCUCAUCAAGUGACGGUAACUACCCAGAAAGGGACGGCUAACUACGUG